RNAcentral lists this ribosomal RNA (214 nucleotides) under uncultured bacterium. RNAcentral's name for it is "partial 16S ribosomal RNA". It matches the Rfam family "Bacterial small subunit ribosomal RNA", at positions 1 to 215 of the family's 1533-position model. The record is from RNAcentral.
CUNGUACUCACGAAUGCAUCUNCCAUUAGAUUAUGAUCAUGGCUCAGAGCGAACGCUGGCGGCUAGUGCCUAACACAUGCAAGUCGAACGAACUCUUCGGAGUUAAGUGGCGGACGGGUGAGUAACACAGUGUGUGAACUCGUGCCGUUUAGCUCGUUCAGAGAAUAACUCAAGUGGAAAACUUAGGUUGCUAAUACCUGAAAUUGUUGCACCC